GCCUGUGCAGGUCGUGACGGGUCUUGCACACCUCCAACACAGCACCCUGGAAGGUCUCUCGUUGGAAGCUCAUGAACAGGAGGGGCUCUGGCCUGGACUAUCAUGGUGAGGGAGUGUUGCUGUGCUCGCCUCGCCGCCCAAAGACUCGGCGCCAGAUGACCCCGAUACUGUGACACAAGAUGGCCAGUUAGUCAGUCAGUCUUGCCUCUUGCAGCACAGAGGACCCUCAAGCUGGAACAAAAGGAACACGCCCUUAGGACCUCCUCGUCUUUCUCUAAGUGAUGUAUUGGUAUUAGUCAUAUAGAAAUGUUCUCUAAGUGAUGUAUUGGUCAUAUAGAAAUGUUGUUAAGUGAAAUGUAAUGGUUACUAGUAAUGUAAUUAUCGGUUGGGCAAUGUAAUAAUGAUUAAGUUAUGUAAUAAUAGUAAUAAGUAAUAAUGUAAUUAAUCAUAUAUAGUAAUAUAAAUGUGGUUAUACAGUUUUUUAUAAUCUGUAACAAGUCAGUAUUUGGAAGUGAUCAUUGAUUCGGUGUUUUUAUAUUUGUAUUAUAUCUUUCCAUUUUAUUAUGCCAGUCUUCUCUUUCUCUCUUACUUUGAUUUGUGAGCAGUCAGUAUUGGGAAGUCUGAUGAUUCUGUGCCUUAUAUUUGUAUAGUUAUAUAUUCUUUUGCACCAGUCUUUUAUGUAUUAAAUUCUUACAAUUGCUACUUUUUUGUAUGUAAUUUUGCCAAAGUAAACAUUUAAGGUUGUCCAAAUGAAA
Long non-coding RNA from Scylla paramamosain (green mud crab), 755 nucleotides. RefSeq lists it as uncharacterized. Lineage: Eukaryota; Metazoa; Arthropoda; Malacostraca; Decapoda; Portunidae. The record is from RefSeq and is a predicted model, not a curated record. The transcript is spliced from 4 exons.